UGCAGCGACGCCGCGUGAGGGAUGACGGCCUUCGGGUUGUAAACCUCUUUCAGUAUCGACGAAGCGCAAGUGACGGUAGGUACAGAAGAAGGACCGGCCAACUACGUGCCAGCAGCCGCGGUAAUACGUAGGGUCCGAGCGUUGUCCGGAAUUACUGGGCGUAAAGAGCUCGUAGGUGGUUUGUCGCGUUGUUCGUGAAAACUCACAGCUCAACUGUGGGCGUGCGGGCGAUACGGGCAGACUAGAGUACUGCAGGGGAGACUGGAAUUCCUGGUGUAGCGGUGGAAUGCGCAGAUAUCAGGAGGAACACCGGUGGCGAAGGCGGGUCUCUGGGCAGUAACUGACGCUGAGGAGCGAAAGCGUGGGGAGCGAACAGGAUUAGAUACCCUGGUAGUCCACGCCGUAAACGGUGGGUACUAGGUGUGGGUUUCCUUCCUUGGGAUCCGUGCCGUAGCUAACGCAUUAAGUACCCCGCCUGGGGAGUACGGCCGCAAGGCUAAAACUCAAAGAAAUUGACGGGGGCCCGCACAAGCGGCGGAGCAUGUGGAUUAAUUCGAUGCAACGCGAAGAACCUUACCUGGGUUUGACAUGCACAGGACGUGCCUAGAGAUAGGUAUUCCCUUGUG
RNAcentral lists this ribosomal RNA (626 nucleotides) under Mycobacterium sp. So3Pw_1428. Its description in RNAcentral is "bacterial SSU rRNA". It matches the Rfam family "Bacterial small subunit ribosomal RNA", at positions 387 to 1022 of the family's 1533-position model. The record is from RNAcentral. Lineage: Bacteria; Bacillati; Actinomycetota; Actinomycetes; Mycobacteriales; Mycobacteriaceae.